GACGAACGUUGGCGGCGUGCUUAACACAUGCAAGUCGAACGGAAAGGCCCUGCUUUUGUGGGGUGCUCGAGUGGCGAACGGGUGAGUAACACGUGAGUAACCUGCCCUUGACUUUGGGAUAACUUCAGGAAACUGGGGCUAAUACCGGAUAGGAGCUCCUGCUGCAUGGUGGGGGUUGGAAAGUUUCGGCGGUUGGGGAUGGACUCGCGGCUUAUCAGCUUGUUGGUGGGGUAGUGGCUUACCAAGGCUUUGACGGGUAGCCGGCCUGAGAGGGUGACCGGCCACAUUGGGACUGAGAUACGGCCCAGACUCCUACGGGAGGCAGCAGUGGGGAAUAUUGCACAAUGGGCGGAAGCCUGAUGCAGCAACGCCGCGUGCGGGAUGACGGCCUUCGGGUUGUAAACCGCUUUCGCCGGUGACGAAGCGUGAGUGACGGUAAUGGGUAAAGAAGCACCGGCUAACUACGUG
RNAcentral lists this ribosomal RNA (468 nucleotides) under uncultured bacterium. RNAcentral's name for it is "partial 16S ribosomal RNA". It matches the Rfam family "Bacterial small subunit ribosomal RNA", at positions 28 to 507 of the family's 1533-position model. The record is from RNAcentral.